This 444-nucleotide ribosomal RNA is filed under the name Caldicochlea globosa. Its description in RNAcentral is "partial 16S ribosomal RNA". It matches the Rfam family "Bacterial large subunit ribosomal RNA", at positions 1916 to 2574 of the family's 2925-position model. The record is from RNAcentral. Lineage: Eukaryota; Metazoa; Mollusca; Gastropoda; Littorinimorpha; Tateidae.
AUAGAUAUUUAACGGCCGCGGUACUCUGACCGUGCAAAGGUAGCAUAAUCAUUUGCCUUAUAAUUGAAGGCUAGUAUGAAUGGUUUGAUGAAAACAAAGCUGUCUCCUUUUAAUUUUAUAAAACUUGAUUUUUGGGUGAAGAAGCCCAAAUAAAAUUGAUAGACGAGAAGACCCUAUCGAGCUUAAAAAAAUUUUAUUAAAACAAAGUUGCUUACAAAAGACCAGUUAUAAUAAAAAAUUUUAGUUGGGGCGACUAAGGAACAAUAAAGCUUCCAUUUUUAAUAUUAUAGCAUAUUAGCUAUGAUCCAAAAUCUUUGAUUAAAAGAAUUAGUUACCGUAGGGAUAACAGCAUAAUCUUUUUUGAGAGUUCUUAUCGAAAAAAAGGUUUGUGACCUCGAUGUUGGACUAAAAUAUCCUAAAAGAUGCAGAAGUCUUUAAGGGUUG